Molecule: ribosomal RNA, 504 nt
Filed under: uncultured bacterium
Lineage: Bacteria
Description: partial 16S ribosomal RNA
Rfam family: Bacterial small subunit ribosomal RNA
Source: RNAcentral
GACGAACGCUGGCGGCGUGCUUAACACAUGCAAGUCGAACGGUGAAGCGCUUGCCUUUUUGGUGGGUGUGGAUGAGUGGCGAACGGGUGAGUAACACGUGAGUAACCUGCCCUCUUCUUCUGGAUAACCUCAUGAAAGUGGGGCUAAUACGGGGUAUUCCGGGUCUGUCGCAUGGCGGGUUUGGGAAAGAUUGCGCCUUUGGGUGUUUUCGGUGGGGGAUGGGCUCGCGGCCUAUCAGCUUGUUGGUGGGGUGAUGGCCUACCAAGGCGGUGACGGGUAGCCGGCCUGAGAGGGUGGACGGCCACACUGGGACUGAGACACGGCCCAGACUCCUGCGGGAGGCAGCAGUGGGGAAUAUUGCACAAUGGGCGCAAGCCUGAUGCAGCGACGCCGCGUGAGGGAUGGAGGCCUUCGGGUUGUGAACCUCUUUCGCCAGUGAAGCAGGCCUGCUCCUGUGUGGGUGGGUUGACGGUAGCUGGGUAAGAAGCGCCGGCUAACUACGUG